This 559-nucleotide ribosomal RNA is filed under the name uncultured Hyphomicrobiales bacterium. RNAcentral's name for it is "bacterial SSU rRNA". It matches the Rfam family "Bacterial small subunit ribosomal RNA", at positions 28 to 636 of the family's 1533-position model. The record is from RNAcentral. Lineage: Bacteria; Pseudomonadati; Pseudomonadota; Alphaproteobacteria; Hyphomicrobiales.
AACGAACGCUGGCGGCAGGCUUAACACAUGCAAGUCGAACGCCCCGCAAGGGGAGUGGCAGACGGGUGAGUAACGCGUGGGAACGUGCCCUUCGCUUCGGAAUAGCCCCGGGAAACUGGGAGUAAUACCGGAUACGCCGUAUUGGGAAAGAUUUAUCGGCGAAGGAUCGGCCCGCGUUAGAUUAGCUAGUUGGCGGUGUAAUGGACCACCAAGGCUACGAUCUAUAGCUGGUCUGAGAGGAUGAUCAGCCACACUGGGACUGAGACACGGCCCAGACUCCUACGGGAGGCAGCAGUGGGGAAUCUUGGACAAUGGGCGCAAGCCUGAUCCAGCCAUGCCGCGUGAGUGAAGAAGGCCUUAGGGUUGUAAAACUCUUUCGCCGGAGAAGAUAAUGACGGUAUCCGGAGAAGAAGCCCCGGCUAACUUCGUGCCAGCAGCCGCGGUAAUACGAAGGGGGCUAGCGUUGUUCGGAAUUACUGGGCGUAAAGCGCACGUAGGCGGGUUUGUAAGUAGAGGGUGAAAUCCCAGGGCUCAACCCUGGAACUGCCUUCUAAACUGC